AGCGAACGCUGGCGGCAGGCUUAACACAUGCAAGUCGAGCGGGCACUUUCGGGUGUCAGCGGCGGACGGGUGAGGAACGCGUGGGAACGUGCCCUCUGGUUCGGAAUAACUCAGGGAAACUUGAGCUAAUACCGGAUACGCCCUUUUGGGGAAAGGCUUGCUGCCGGAGGAUCGGCCCGCGUCUGAUUAGCUAGUUGGUGAGGUAACGGCUCACCAAGGCGACGAUCAGUAGCUGGUCUGAGAGGAUGAUCAGCCACACUGGGACUGAGACACGGCCCAGACUCCUACGGGAGGCCGCAGUGGGGAAUAUUGGACACUGGGCGCGAGCCUGAUCCAGCCAUGCCGCGUGAGUGAUGAAGGCCUUAGGGUUGUAAAGCUCUUUUAUCCGGGACGAUAAUGACGGUACCGGAGGAAUAAGCCCCGGCUAACUUCGU
RNAcentral lists this ribosomal RNA (434 nucleotides) under uncultured bacterium. Its description in RNAcentral is "partial 16S ribosomal RNA". It matches the Rfam family "Bacterial small subunit ribosomal RNA", at positions 29 to 506 of the family's 1533-position model. The record is from RNAcentral.